AGACGGAGUCUCGCUCUGUCAUCCAGAGCUGGAGUGCAGUGGCGCAAUAUCAAAGUCGCUGCAGCCUCCACCUCCCGGGUUCAAGCAAUUCUCCUGCCUCAGCCUCCCAAGUAGCUGGGAUUACAGGCGUGGGCCACCACAUCUGGCUAAUUUUUGUAUUUUUAGUAGAGAUGGAGUUUCUACUCCAUCAGGCUGGUCUCCAACUUCUGGCCUCAAGUGAUCUGCUGCCUCGGCCUCCCAAAGUGCUGGGAUUACAGACGUGAGUCACUGUGCCUGGCCUGGAUGGAACAUUCUGCUCUUUCUCCAUCUGCUGCCUACCCAUGAUGUCUUGGGACUCCUAGAACCCUAAAGGAAGCCCCUGGACACGCAGGAAGGUGAUCCAGAAUUACUCCCGAACUCUACCAGCUGAAAUCCUCCUCAACUCACAUCAGACAAGACGGCCCUGCCACUUACCUGUCAGAUCACUUUGGGCAGUUUACAGGAGAGAAGAUGCAGCCUGGGAGAGAUGCAGCAGGUGUCUGAGGCCACACAGCAAGUCACCCAGGGCCAGGAUCUGAAGCUGGGUCUCUCCAGCUCCACUGCCUGGGCACUUUCUCCUCCACAGCGACCUUCAGGUCAUCAUGAGGAGCCUUUCGGACUAAAGCUAGAGAGCUGGGAUUCCAACAGUUCAGCAACCCAUGACUUCUCCAUGGCAGCUGCUGCCUGACCACCUAGUGCCUUUCCACUAAGAUUGUUCCUUCCCUCUCCUGAAGAUUAUCCUCCUGCCCCUCUCUCCCAAACAUCUGCGGUGUGCACCUGCUGCCCAAAGUUGAACUUUUUUUUGUUAGAGACAGGGCCUCACUGUGUCAUCCAGGCUGGAGUGCAGUGGCGUGAUCAUAGCUCACUGCAGCCUCCAACUCCUGGGCUCAAGUGACCCUCUCACCUCAGCUUCCUGAGUAGCUGGGACUACAGGCAUGCACCACCACGCCUGGCUAAUUUUUAAAUUUUUUGCAGAGACAGGGUCUAGCUAUGUUGCCCACCCUGGUCUUGAACUCCUGGGCUCAAGCAAUCUGUCUGCCUUGGUCUCCCAGCUCGCUGGGAUUACAGGCAUGAAUCACCAUGCCCGGUCCUCCAAAGUUGAACUUUUGAGACUCAGUUUCCUUCUUGGUAAAUUCAGGCUCCUAGGUGCUACCUCCUCAGAGACAUCCUCCUUGACCACAUCACAUGACCUCUCGCAGAGGCCAGAUUCUUUAAUGUAUUCAUUUGUCUAUUAUCAUGUUUCCCCAGUAGAAGUUGCACAAACGGCAGGGGCUUCAUCUGUUUUGUUUGCCGUUAUGUCCUUAGCACCUAAAAUUGUGCCUGGCACAUAUAGUACUCAGUAUGUAUUUGCUGGGUCAAUGAGUGAGUGAAUUUAUACUAAUAACAGCAGCUACCAUUUCUAGAGUGUUUACCAUAUAUUGGGCACUGUGUCAAUCUUCCCAACAACCCACAGACGAAGAUCAAUUAUUACACCCAUUGUACAGAUCAGGAAACUGAGUCAGGUUAAGAAACUUGCCCUAAAUCCUACAGUCUCACUUAGAACUUCUGACUGCAGUGCUCAUCAGAAUGCAUUGUCAACCCAAAGGUCAUUUCCAGCUCAGGUGGCUUCUAUCAAAAGAGCUCAUCCUGGCCUUUCCAAGAGCCAGACCUCCGACAUCGGUGGAGCCCUGUGCAUAGCUGGCCUCUCCUGGGCGUCUUGUCCCAAGUACAGAGACCUGGAUCCUUUCCCACUCAUGUGCAACAGCCCAAAAUUAAAAACAAAAGCCAUAUUAAAAAACAAAACCAA
Long non-coding RNA from Homo sapiens (human), 1804 nucleotides. RefSeq annotates it as long independently transcribed non-coding RNA 2594. The record is from RefSeq and is marked validated. The transcript has 3 exons. Lineage: Eukaryota; Metazoa; Chordata; Mammalia; Primates; Hominidae.